CUACGGGUGGCUGCAGUGAGGAAUAUUGCACAAUGGGGGAAACCCUGAUGCAGCAACGCCGCGUGGAGGAUGACGCAUUUCGGUGUGUAAACUCCUUUUAUAUGUCAAGAAAAUGACGGUAGCAUAUGAAUAAGCACCGGCUAACUCCGUGCCAGCAACCGCGGUAAUACGGAGGGUGCAAGCGUUACUCGGAAUCACUGGGCGUAAAGGACGCGUAGGCUGGUUGGUAAGUCAGGUGUGAAAUCCUACAGCUUAACUGUAGAACUGCACUUGAAACUACCAACCUAGAGUAUGGGAGGGGGAGAUGGAAUUAGUGGUGUAGGGGUAAAAUCCGUAGAUAUCACUAGGAAUACCGAAAGCGAAGGCGAUCUCCUGGAACAUAACUGACGCUAAGGCGUGAAAGCGUGGGGAGCAAACAGGAUUAGAUACCCUUGUAGUC
This 439-nucleotide ribosomal RNA is filed under the name uncultured bacterium. Its description in RNAcentral is "partial 16S ribosomal RNA". It matches the Rfam family "Bacterial small subunit ribosomal RNA", at positions 339 to 795 of the family's 1533-position model. The record is from RNAcentral.